UACGUAGGGUGCGAGCGUUAAUCGGAAUUACUGGGCGUAAAGCGUGCGCAGGCGGUUCGCCAAGUCAGGUGUGAAAUCCCCGAGCUUAACCUGGGAAUUGCGCUUGAAACUAGCGGGCUAGAGUGUGGCAGAGGGGGGUGGAAUUCCACGUGUAGCAGUGAAAUGCGUAGAUAUGUGGAGGAACACCGAUGGCGAAGGCAACCCCCUGGGCCGACACUGACGCUGAGGCACGAAAGCGUGGGGAGCAAACAGG
RNAcentral lists this ribosomal RNA (253 nucleotides) under uncultured bacterium. RNAcentral's name for it is "partial 16S ribosomal RNA". It matches the Rfam family "Bacterial small subunit ribosomal RNA", at positions 524 to 776 of the family's 1533-position model. The record is from RNAcentral.